GUCACUACGUAGGUGGCCGUGUUUUUCCAAAAAUUGCUGUAUUUGAUAGUACUAGGAUUCUGGGUUCACAUCAACCAAGGACAACAUUUGCAAGGUGUUUGUACUAUGGAUUUCAAUUCACAUACUGAAUGCAACACCCAAAGGUGCACAACCUAAAUGCAAUAAAAAUGAAAUGAAAAAGAAUAGUGUGAAUAAGAUUUCAUAGAAUUAAAAAUAAAGUCAAGUUGACUGCUGGUGUGUCAAUUAGGUGUCAUCCACACUGCGGACAUUCCCUCGGGAACUUCCACUUGUUUUCAAUGGGAUUCUUCAUCUCUGUUCAGACUGCGGAAUCACCACAGUGGAAUUCGACAGGCAGUAAAUGACCUGUAACAAGAAAGAAUAAUAUUUAUUGGACUGGAUGUGCCACGUAAACGGAGUAUCAUUUUUGGGACUAAGGAGCACUUUGCCACAUGAUAUAGGAUCAUAGUUUUCUCUAAAGAAUAAGAGUUUACCACCCCUUCUUUACUUGCCACUUGGGAGACAAGAUGAGACGCAGACUGAGCUCUUAUACCAUUAAGACUACUGAGGAAGACAUCUAGUCUACCACUGACUGUAUUACCAGUCACUACAUGAAGCACUUCUGACAACUGGAUCACAGCCGCUCUUACCGGGCCACAGCAUCAUCCAUUGUGCGUCCCCCGCCACGAGGACGCACCUACAAACCAUCUACAGGACACCACCGACCGCUAAAAGCAAGUACAGAACCCAGAAGAGAUUCCUACAGCUUGGGCGAAUACCAGCUACAUACAGGACUACGGGAGAGGUACCCUGGUACUGUCAAUUAACUGUUUUGCCUCACACUCUUGAUUACCAUUCUAUGUCCGCAGUGCGGGUGCUUGCAGGUCGGGUGGCAGGUUCAGAGGAUCCUGUAACGGCCGCAGUGCCGUAAUUGUUUAUUGCUUGCUCCACAGGUCAGACAGCAGGUGAACAGGACUGUACUUACCAACUUGUCCUUAACGGCCGCAGUGCCGUGACUUUACCCUUACAGCAGUAACUUUUUACUUCCACAGGAUUAUACAACUGAGACCCGGCAGAAUCCAUCUAGUGCGGGAUUGUAUUUGCAACAUCUGCAGUCCCCUCAUUCUCAGCCCACCUUUACAGACUCGCACAGCGAGCGGCCAGCAGAUACAAUUUCCUUCAAUGUGAAAGCAACAGUAUCGCUUUGGUACAAUCAGCAGACACGCUCUUCUAUACUGUUACAGCAAUCGUAUUGCUUUGUGUUAAGUAUCUACGAACUGUUAC
Molecule: long non-coding RNA, 1281 nt
Organism: Hyla sarda
Lineage: Eukaryota; Metazoa; Chordata; Amphibia; Anura; Hylidae
Exons: 5
Source: RefSeq, a predicted model, not a curated record